This 74-nucleotide transfer RNA is filed under the name Lachnospiraceae bacterium. Its description in RNAcentral is "tRNA-Glu". It matches the Rfam family "tRNA". Rfam says of the family: Transfer RNA (tRNA) molecules are approximately 80 nucleotides in length. The record is from RNAcentral. Lineage: Bacteria; Bacillati; Bacillota; Clostridia; Lachnospirales; Lachnospiraceae.
GGCGGAUUAGUCUAAAUGGUUAGGACAGGAGACUCUCAAUCUCCAGAUGUCGGGUUCAAGCCCCGCAUCCGCUA